Molecule: ribosomal RNA, 253 nt
Filed under: uncultured bacterium
Lineage: Bacteria
Description: partial 16S ribosomal RNA
Rfam family: Bacterial small subunit ribosomal RNA
Source: RNAcentral
UACGUAGGGGGCAAGCGUUGUCCGGAAUCAUUGGGCGUAAAGCGCGUGUAGGCGGCCCGAUAAGUCCGCUGUGAAAGUCCAGGGCUCAACCCUGGGAUGCCGGUGGAUACUGUCGGGCUCGAGUCCGGAAGAGGCGAGUGGAAUUCCUGGUGUAGCGGUGAAAUGCGCAGAUAUCAGGAGGAACACCUGCGGCGAAGGCGGGUUGCUGGGCCGACACUGACGCUGAGGCGCGAAAGCCAGGGGAGCGAACGGG